Dermacentor andersoni is the source of this 926-nucleotide non-coding RNA. The record is from RefSeq and is a predicted model, not a curated record. Lineage: Eukaryota; Metazoa; Arthropoda; Arachnida; Ixodida; Ixodidae.
GGGCUUUUCAUUGAUUUCGAGACGACCGCUCUCGUAUUUUCGCCUAUAGCAACGGUAGCUAAGGUCGAUGAAUUCUCUUGGGAAACAAUCAAUGUGUGUCACGCGGACGCGCACACUGCCCAAGUAGCGUGCGGCAUACUGACCGUCAUAACAGUGUAGCUUUUAUUUGGCACAGUCGUUACUGGAUUUGUGGCCGCUUUCUCUAUGGUCUGAAAACCAGCUCUACGGAAAGAACGUUGACUAACUGCGAACCUGGAUGCGAAGCACUACCUAGGUCAUGUAAUCAAGGCAAUAAAACUUCCACGCAAAGCCACAUGAAGCCGUAUGCGAUGGUUCUGCCUUCAACUGCCUUGUUUGGGUCUUCAUUUGGCAGCUUAUUCCUCAAGACAAUUGGGAGCACCAAUGCUAGCCUUUUGCUGAUAUUGGUGUUUGCCUUUGUGGUGAGUCCAAAUCACGUAUUCCAUCGGCUACCUAUUCAUGCGGCGGCCUGAGUUGCGCGGCUGCGACAGGGCGUCCUGCUCAGCCGGUGGUGAGCAGCGAGCCAAGGAGACGAGCGGCAACGCGGACGGCGCCAAGAGCACUGCCGGUGGCCGGAAAGACGAGACCACGCCGCUUCUCGAAAGCUCCGGAGACGAAGAAGAAGAGGAGGAGGAGGAGGAAGAACCCUCGUCUUCGGAGUCGGCAGCCAACGAGAAAGAAGCCAACUGACAUUCUACUUCCAGCUGGAUCUUUAUGCUGCGCCUUGCAACCUGCGCUUGUCCAAUAGGCUCCAUCGUGGGGCUGCGUUCAGCGCCGUCGGAUGCCAAGCUUUCCAUCUGUUCGCAACCAUCAGCAGGACUUCUUGCGGGGCAUGACGUCAUCCUUCACCGAAAACCACUUUCAGUAAUUCGCGCGAAAUAUUCAAUAAACAUUACCGACAGCAAUAA